RNAcentral lists this ribosomal RNA (433 nucleotides) under uncultured bacterium. RNAcentral describes it as "partial 16S ribosomal RNA". It matches the Rfam family "Bacterial small subunit ribosomal RNA", at positions 29 to 507 of the family's 1533-position model. The record is from RNAcentral.
AACGAACGCUGGCGGCAUGCCUAACACAUGCAAGUCGAACGAGACCUUCUGGUCUAGUGGCGCACGGGUGCGUAACGCGUGGGAACCUGCCCUUAGGUUCGGAAUAACUCCCCGAAAGGGGUGCUAAUACCGGAUAAUGUCUUCGGACCAAAGAUUUAUCGCCUUUGGAUGGGCCCGCGUUGGAUUAGCUAGUUGGUAGGGUAAAAGCCUACCAAGGCGACGAUCCAUAGCUGGUCUGAGAGGAUGAUCAGCCACACUGGGACUGAGACACGGCCCAGACUCCUACGGGAGGCAGCAGUGGGGAAUAGUGGACAAGGGGCGAAAGGCUGAUCCAGCAAUGCCGCGUGAGUGAUGAAGGCCUUAGGGUUGUAAAGCUCUUUUAGCCGGGAUGAUAAUGACAGUACCGGGAGAAUAAGCUCCGGCUAACUCCGUG